This 531-nucleotide ribosomal RNA is filed under the name Triticum aestivum (bread wheat). RNAcentral's name for it is "partial small subunit ribosomal RNA". The record is from RNAcentral. Lineage: Eukaryota; Viridiplantae; Streptophyta; Magnoliopsida; Poales; Poaceae.
AUGCCGGCGACGUGCGCGGCCUUCUUGAACGAGAAGUGGGUCUGGUCGGAGCAGUAGACGACGAGGUCGCCCAUCCUCUCCUCGCCUCCUACUUCGGCGAGCUUCCGGUCCCUCGCGGCGACGAUGGUGCAGAGCAUGGCCUCGCACGACGUCCCGAGCAGCGUGCCGCCGCCGCCACCGCAGAAGAGCAGCUGCUCCGGGAGGUGUAGCGCCUUACCCAGCCAAUCUGUAACAACGACCUCGAGCUCGGUGGCCGCCGGCGAGGCGGCCCAGGUAAAAGGGUUGAUGUUGAGGCCCGCGGCGAGGGCCUCGCCGAGCGCGCCCACGUUGCUCGCCGUCGCCGCGAAGUGCGCGAAAUGACGGGGGCUCUGCCAGUGGGUGACGCCGGGAAGGAUGAGGUCCCGGAUGUCGCGCAGCGCCGAGGCGAGCGCGUCGGGCUCCGGCCACGACGGCGCCGUGUCGGGAAGCUGCCGGGCUAGGAACCCGGGAGCGACGGCCGGGCGAACAGGGUACUCGUCGAUGCGGUCGUAG